Molecule: long non-coding RNA, 231 nt
Filed under: Carica papaya (papaya)
Lineage: Eukaryota; Viridiplantae; Streptophyta; Magnoliopsida; Brassicales; Caricaceae
Description: long non-coding RNA (CPAP_LNC001573)
Source: RNAcentral
AGAACACAUCCUGGAAGUCUCGGACUAUCAGAAUCUCUCGAAUAUAAAUUUUUUUCUUAGGUUUGCCUAGUUAGAGAAAAUAGCCGAGUUAAAGCACUUAGUAAUAGAAAAAUUGCCAUGAAGGAAUAACGUUUAAAGAAUUUUAUUAAUUUGUAAAUGACUCUUCAUUAGGAGGGUUGAAUAUAAAUUUCUUGUGAAAAUAAUCUAUGGUGGCGUGAAACACUGCUAGCU